Hypanus sabinus (Atlantic stingray) is the source of this 323-nucleotide long non-coding RNA. RefSeq lists it as uncharacterized. Lineage: Eukaryota; Metazoa; Chordata; Chondrichthyes; Myliobatiformes; Dasyatidae. The record is from RefSeq and is a predicted model, not a curated record. The transcript is spliced from 2 exons.
CCCAGACAGCCUUGAUGAUGUUGGGAUCAGUGAGAUCAGGCUCUGUGGAAGCCAUACCAUCAGAAACCAUAGGAAAAAUCUCUGGUGCCCAAGACUUUUGCACAGUACUGUACAAAGGGAAGAUGAGAAAUUAUUUUUAAAUCAGUGAGGUUAUGAUCUGGAUCUUUACCAUUGGGGAAGAUGGAAGCAGAGUCAACAGAGAUUUAAAACAGAAAUGGAUAGACACAUGCAAGAACAGAUGCUGUUUGACCAACUGCGUAUGUCCAGAAUUCUCUUUCUGUGCUUGUGGGCUAAUUUUGGAUUAAACUAUUCAUACAACUCAG